UACGGAGGGUGCGAGCGUUGUCCGGAAUCACUGGGCGUAAAGGGCGCGUAGGCGGCCCGUUAAGUGGCUGGUGAAAUCCCGCGGCUCAACUGCGGGGCUGCCGGUCAGACUGGCGAGCUAGAGCACGGUAGGGGCAGAUGGAAUUCCCGGUGUAGCGGUGGAAUGCGUAGAGAUCGGGAAGAAUACCAGUGGCGAAGGCGUUCUGCUGGGCCGUUGCUGACGCUGAGGCGCGACAGCGUGGGGAGCAAACAGG
Molecule: ribosomal RNA, 253 nt
Filed under: uncultured bacterium
Lineage: Bacteria
Also listed under: 1 other name
Description: partial 16S ribosomal RNA
Rfam family: Bacterial small subunit ribosomal RNA
Source: RNAcentral